RNAcentral lists this long non-coding RNA (368 nucleotides) under Mytilus galloprovincialis (Mediterranean mussel). The record is from RNAcentral. Lineage: Eukaryota; Metazoa; Mollusca; Bivalvia; Mytilida; Mytilidae.
CUGGGCGAUUACGAACGAAAUAACUGUCUUGAAUAAUUUUUUCUUGUAAACCUGUUCCGUUGUAUAUUGUGUACAAGUCGUUGUUUUCUCAUUGACAAUUGUAGUGUCAUCGUCUUCAGGAUUACUUAAAGUUGUGUUGUCAUUCGCUGAAAAAGAUGCCGGUGAGUGUUUCAUUGGAUAGAGUGUUCUAAUUCUUUUAGGAGUAAUGGAUUUUUGCGGCGUGAACGAGUGCUUUUUAGAUGAACCUGGUGAUGAACUAUGAUGCAUUUUGGCUGGUGGAGGCUUCAGGCAUAUCUUAUAUUGAGGACUAUUUUGUGAUGUUUUGGUUUAUUGAGCCAUAGCCUUGACUUCUUUUUACCAUGAUAGUG